Physeter macrocephalus (sperm whale) is the source of this 1030-nucleotide long non-coding RNA. RefSeq lists it as uncharacterized. Lineage: Eukaryota; Metazoa; Chordata; Mammalia; Artiodactyla; Physeteridae. The record is from RefSeq and is a predicted model, not a curated record. The transcript is spliced from 3 exons.
CCAGGAAUCCGGGCAUGGGGCGCGGGCAGCUGCCCCUUCCGUGAACCUCUAGCCUCCCGCGGCGAGGAGAUCUGCAGGGCAGGAGUGCACGGCCCGCAGGCGUAAGGCUCCGGACUCGCAGGCUCAGCGGCCAUGGCUCACGGGCCCAGCCGCUCCGCGGCAUGUGGGAUCCUCCCGGACCGGGACACGAACCCACGUCCCCUGCAUCGUCAGGCGGACUCUCAACCACUGUGCCGCCAGGCAAAGCUACGCCAGGGGCUGGCAGUGUUCAGCUAAGUGAUAAAAGGACUGAGUAACUGCGAAUCACCGUUUGUUUGACAAGCACUCAGUCUCUCAAUCAAGCAAUGCCCUUUAAGCAGUUAAUACAAUGCAUUUUUUUUUUUUGGCCACACUGCACCGCAUGUGGGAUCUUAGUUCCUGGACCAGGGAUCCAACCUGUGCCCCCUGCAGUGGAAGUUCAGAGUCCUAACCACUGGACUGCCAGAGAAGUCCCAAUAUAAAGUAUUUCUUAACUGAUUAAAAUACAGAAAUUGAAACAUAACCCAGUACUGCAUUUAAAGACAUGAAUCCCCUGGGAAAACUCAAGCCCUUGUUGGUUCAUCUGAGGGGGUUAAGAGUUUGAAUCCCAACUUCACCACCUCCUGGCCCUGCCACCUUGGGUAACUUGCUUGACAUCUCUGUGCCGCAUUUUUCUUCAUCUAUAAAAUGGGGAAGGCAAUAAGAGAAGGUUCUGUAGGGCCUGAAGUUUCUGCAGUUUGUGGGGGGAUCUUAAAAAUUACAAAUGUAAAGUGAAGCACUGUCCCCGUAGGAUCUUGGGGAGAGCCUCUCACUUGCAAGAUUAAACCUCAUUAGCUUUACCACAGACGAAGCUCUGAAAAUAGCGUCUUUUUCAAGCGCUGUUGGGAAUACGGAGUGAGGCCAUGUGGCUGAAUCAUCUGGCUCUGGUGUGUGGUGGGCCCGACUCCCAGACUACUAACCAGGUGUGUAAGAAACAUCUCCUUCUUUGUGUAGAGAAACCUACCUGAAGUUC